UGCGUAGGCGGCCUGGAAAGUUGGGUGUGAAAUCCCUCGGCUCAACCGAGGAAUUGCGCUCAAUACUGCCAGGCUAGAGGGAGACAGAGGUAAGCGGAACUUAGGGUGGAGCGGUGAAAUGCGUUGAUAUCCUAAGGAACACCAGUGGCGAAGGCGGCUUACUGGGUCUCUUCUGACGCUGAGGCACGAAAGCUGGGGGAGCGAACAGGAUUAGAUACCCUGGUAGUCC
Molecule: ribosomal RNA, 229 nt
Filed under: uncultured bacterium
Lineage: Bacteria
Description: partial 16S ribosomal RNA
Rfam family: Bacterial small subunit ribosomal RNA
Source: RNAcentral